Numida meleagris (helmeted guineafowl) is the source of this 2941-nucleotide long non-coding RNA. RefSeq lists it as uncharacterized. NCBI's taxonomy places the organism in Eukaryota, Metazoa, Chordata, Aves, Galliformes, Numididae. The transcript is spliced from 3 exons. The record is from RefSeq and is a predicted model, not a curated record.
UAUUUCACAUCCCAUGCUGCCAUCAGAAAUGCAGAAGGAUGUUCUGUCUGGAGACUGGGAUUCUGCUGUUGACCAGUUGAGCAUUCCAGUAACCAAGGCAACAAAAGCCUCUGUUCUACUUAGAGGAAAUUGGGGAGCUGGCCUAAUACUGUCUGGAAAUUGCCUCUGGCAGACAACAGUCCUCCAGUGCCAGCCAGCCUGGUGGGAGAUGGACACCCCACUAUUCCACAGAAGUGAGCCUGCUGCCACUGUCCCCUGCCACUCAGGGGCUAGUUCUCAGCUCUAGUUCACCUUCCUCCGUACUCCCCCUUAGCAGAGGUUGCUCCCUUUCCUUGCCUUUUAGAUAUUGAAUUAAUGCAAUUAAUUCAGGUCCGAUAGGAAAAAGGAACCUCCCUCCUGUUACCCAAAGUCACAAGCUAGCAGCCUCACCAUCCAUAGAAUCCAUCACCUCUCCAGGCUUACAUCCCACCACUGGUUCUCACGCUGCUCCAGGGUCUCUAGGAAGACUUGACCAUUGCUUCUUGUCACCCCCAACGCUUCUUCCUCAACACUUCCUCCCACUGCUCCUUUACCCAGUGCCGGAGCACCUCUGACAAAACACACCUCUCACCUCCAAGAAACACCAAAUGCUCCCCACAACCCAAACCUACAAGCACACAGCAUCCACCUGGUCCAGUUCUUCUGCUGCAGUACAGACCACAGAGAGGAAAAUCUUUGGAUAUGGAACACAGUGAGAGGAAGGAUGGGAAGUAGGGAAACCAAGAAUAAACACAGACUUCCCUCUACCAACUCUGCAGAAUUCAGGGAAAAAUAUUAAUAUAAAAGGCUCUCUAACAGUGUCACUGAGUACGGGAGUACCCUUGGCAUCUAGGCACUGUCAAAAAGCUAAAGGAAUUUGUUGGUCUUUGUCUCCAGCUGAGCUCUGAAUAGUUUUUCACCUUUUUAUUUUUUUAAGUUUUUUACAGUUAAACUUGUGCAAACACUGACUAUUAUGUAGUGAACAAGAAAAAAAAUCGAUAAAAUGCUUCUUAGAAUAUUCUUUCCUUUUUUUUCUAUUUUGUUGUUGUUAUUAUUGUUUGUUUUAUUUUGUUUCCCUCUACUAGAAACUAGCCGUAGUGAUCACAUGCAGAUCUGUGUUUGCUUCAGUGUUAUAUUACUGCAACUAAAAUUAGAAUCUGGACUGAAACAUUUGGUAUGUAGUUCUGAACUAGCAAGUAUGCAAUUAGGGUGUAAAAUGUUGAUAUCUGCUGCAUCCAAUAGUUCUGCCCAAGUAAAGCACAUUCCUACCUGAAUUCCCUCCACAAACAUCUUGAAUUAACUGACAUUAUCAUAAUAAAAACAUCUUGGGCUUUAUGUCAAUUUCAGAAACUGGCAUUUCAGAAGCCGACAGAUUUCUUCUUCUUUGGACAGAUGAAGAGAAGAAUACUUGCUACAUUAUUUUCCUUCACUAUUCUGGGCAACAAUUCUCCAAAUUGUUCCACUGCUCACAUAAAUACUUACUCUAAUGUUGUUUUUCUGUUUCACACCUUUGAGAGAUACCAAAGCUACUGCAAUAGGGUGAAGACAACCCCACAUUCUUAAUAUAUGUCCACAAGUCUCAAUUUUGCCUUGUAAAUACUUUAUUCUGUUACAAUGAGAAAUUAUUUCAAAUAUCAAAAUUCUGCAUAGUACAAGAACUGUAUUUUUUUGAAAAGCUCUCAAAUUGAGUACUUUAUGAUCAUACGUUUGACAUAGAUGUAGUAGAUAUGAGCUAUGAGAAGUUCUGGUGAGUAAGGUUAAUGAAAUUCAGAUAAAUUAUUUGAUUUCAUCUCGGAUAUGUCAUUAAGCCUUCAUCUGAUUUUAUAACUCACAAACACACACAAAAAAAAAGGAUCUUAAAUGUCCUUAAAAAUGACAAAAAAACAUAUUGCCAUGAGCAUCACAGUAUCACUUAUAAAAGGAAAUCUCAUGCUUUAUGCCAACUUCAUAUAUGCUUGUUCAUUUUGGAGAAGAGUGGGAACCGAGAUGAUUUUUGUCUGCAUUGUCAUCCUUUCUUUUCAGUCAAGAUAGAUAUAAUGUCUACUCAUUAUUAUUGCUUCUCUGAGGAAUUUACUAUUGCUUUACUGAUAUGUGAAACAUCAUAUCUCACAUAUCUCAUAUAACAUUCAUCGUUAUAUUGCACAAAUUGCAGUUGUGGUUAGACACAUCAUUGUUCACAUUUACUCAUUCUGUUGUCAUUCUCUGAAUUGUUAAGCAGCUGCAAAUCUUCACCUCAGAGAGAGCUGCACAGUAGUGAUGCGCAAAAGUAGAGAUAAUGGGGUUUUAUAGUUUGCAUAAAGCUGCCCAUAACUUUCAGCAUGAUUCUUUAGAAGCUGAUUAAAAUAUCUGAAUGAUAAUAUAAACUUCAUCCGUCAAAAUCUGUGAGCAACCUACAUCCACCUUGUCCCACAGAGCUCUAUCAGACUUGUCAGAAAAACUACAAAAGGACUGUAAAGUGAAAAAGCCUUUUGCUAUACUGGACUAAUUUUCUGAUAAUUUCAGACAGUGGAAUAUUCUUGUAUAUGUUUGUUAGGAGACUGUAGUCUCCUGCUAGAAUGGAAAGAAACAUUCAAAUACUGUAUUCGCAAAGUGUUUCAGAAAGGCCAUUGUAGGAUGGACUCAGUCACAAACUAGUGGCUUCAUCCACAUUUAAUCCAUUAUAUGAUGAGGUAUUUAAUGGAUUUUAGCCUUUAACAUGUUACCACACAGGAACAAUUUCUGUGCGGAUUUUGGCUUUGUUUUACUUUCUUUCUAAUCAAAAUGUGUCCAGCUAAGCCUCUGUUCUGCAAAUUCCAUGAAGAACUCAAUCUAAUGAGUGAGAUUUUGACAGGUAUUCAAUUUGGGUUUAGUAGUUUUUUUAUUUGUUGUAUUGUUUUGUUUGUUGAAUGAAAUGUCUUUGGUAUGUUUCAAUAAAGGUAUUUGU